This 559-nucleotide ribosomal RNA is filed under the name Pichia manshurica. RNAcentral describes it as "eukaryotic LSU rRNA". It matches the Rfam family "Eukaryotic large subunit ribosomal RNA", at positions 62 to 647 of the family's 3401-position model. The record is from RNAcentral. Lineage: Eukaryota; Fungi; Ascomycota; Pichiomycetes; Pichiales; Pichiaceae.
AAACCAACAGGGAUUGCCCCAGUAGCGGCGAGUGAAGCGGCAAGAGCUCAGAUUUGAAAUCGUGUUUCGGCACGAGUUGUAGAGUGUAGGCGGGAGUCUCUGUGGAGCGCGGUGUCCAAGUCCCUUGGAACAGGGUGCCUGAGAGGGUGAGAGCCCCGUAGGGUGCUGCGCGAAGCUUUUGAGGCCCUGCUGACGAGUCGAGUUGUUUGGGAAUGCAGCUCCAAGCGGGUGGUAAAUUCCAUCUAAGGCUAAAUAUUGGCGAGAGACCGAUAGCGAACAAGUACUGUGAAGGAAAGAUGAAAAGCACUUUGAAAAGAGAGUGAAACAGCACGUGAAAUUGUUGAAAGGGAAGGGUAUUGGGCUCGACAUGGGGGGUGCGCACCGCUGUCUCUUGUAGGCGGCGCUCUGGGCGCCCUCUGGGCCAGCAUCGGUUCCUGCUGCGGGAGAAGGGGCUCCGGAAAGUGGCUCUUCGGAGUGUUAUAGCCGGGGCCAGAUGCCGCGUGUGGGGACCGAGGACUGCGGCUUCUGUCUCGGAUGCUGGCAUAACGGCGCAAUACCG